CGAAGGUGCAAGCGUUACUCGGAAUUACUGGGCGUAAAGCGUGCGUAGGUGGUUCGUUAAGUCUGAUGUGAAAGCCCUGGGCUCAACCUGGGAAUUGCAUUGGAUACUGGCGGGCUAGAGUGCGGUAGAGGGUAGUGGAAUUCCUGGUGUAGCAGUGAAAUGCGUAGAGAUCAGGAGGAACAUCCGUGGCGAAGGCGACUGCCUGGACCAGCACUGACACUGAGGCACGAAAGCGUGGGAGCAAACAGGAUU
RNAcentral lists this ribosomal RNA (252 nucleotides) under uncultured bacterium. RNAcentral's name for it is "partial 16S ribosomal RNA". It matches the Rfam family "Bacterial small subunit ribosomal RNA", at positions 527 to 779 of the family's 1533-position model. The record is from RNAcentral.